This 253-nucleotide ribosomal RNA is filed under the name uncultured bacterium. RNAcentral describes it as "partial 16S ribosomal RNA". It matches the Rfam family "Bacterial small subunit ribosomal RNA", at positions 524 to 776 of the family's 1533-position model. The record is from RNAcentral.
UACGUAGGGUGCGAGCGUUAAUCGGAAUUACUGGGCGUAAAGCGUGUGCAGGCGGUUUUGUAAGCCCGAUGUGAAAUCCCCGGGCUUAACCUGGGAAUGGCAUUUGGGACUGCAAGGCUGGAGUGUGGCAGAGGAGACUGGAAUUCCUGGUGUAGCAGUGAAAUGCGUAGAUAUCAGGAGGAAUACCGAUGGCGAAGGCAGGUCUCUGGGCUGACACUGACGCUCAUGCACGAAAGCGUGGGGAGCAAACAGG